UUAAUAAUUUCAGGUAUUUUGUAUUCAAAUUUGUGUCAUAGUAAAAUCGAUUAUUUUCGAUAAUAUUGGAUUUAAAAAAGAGAAUAGAAGUAAAAAAGAACGAUAGUUGAAACUGGAUCUUCGAUGAACGGAGGUAUAUAUAAUCGUACAAAUAAAAAAGAAAAGGAUGACCGCAUCCGGACAGCGACAAGUACACGAGGAAGUUUAUUUUGUUUUGUAUUUGUUUUCUAAUGAAAAGAACAGGGUGGUGGAGAGAGAGGAAAAGGAAAAGCAAAACAAAUUUCUAGGAGCAAAGCUAGUAGAAGUUGUUCAUUUCUAUGUGUAUCUUUACUAUAUUUAGACGAGUAGUUAAAGCGUAUUUGAAAUGUUGAAAACAGGUAUACAGAAGGUGUAUGUGUGUGUGUGUGAACGACCGAAGGAACGACGAGAUGAUGCGCGUUUUGCGGCUUUCAUGGCGGUGCUGUUCGUUGAACGAACGAGAGAAUAAACGAGAAAGUACAACAAGAAGGAGGAACAGGAUAGAAAGAGGAUGGUAAAUCGGAUACGAGAGAGGACAACGAAGGGAAUAGUCAAUGCAGUGCCGUACGAGAGAUUAGUUCGUAACAGGCAACUGUAUAUAUCUAUGGAUAACCGUUAAUUAUAUAGAAGAUUGUUAUAAAUCAUAUUCAAUCGGAUUUGUUCAAUGGAAACUUUGAUUUCAUUGAUCGAAGUAACCUUCACCCAGUUGGCAAGCGCUUUAACGAUUGAUCGAUUGACAUACGAUCGAAUCUCUUCUACAAGUUGAUUCUUGUUUUUUUAUUCUUUUUUGUUGUUCAUUUAAAAAUUAAAAAUCGUCUGGCGUGCGAAAGACCCGCGAAAAAGGAAUGUACGAAGGAUUUCGAUUGGGUGCUCAAUGGGUCUUGCAAAUGUGCAAGUGCAUUGAAGCAUCCGAUUUCGAAAGAGGAUAGAUUUAAACAGAUGUUCGAUAUGUCCAAGUCAAUGUGUUUGAAAUCGGAUCGCGCGAAAUAAUGCGUUUGAAAGAUGACGGAGAUUGACCCCUUUGAAAUUUUUGUUCAGAACAGAAACGAGAGGUGGAAGAAAAAUAAGAAGAAUAAAGGGAAAAAAAGGGAGGUGAUACGCGAAGGGAGGUUCUCGAGAUCAAAACGUUCGUGAGAAAAGGUUACUCAGAUUUUCCCUCUUUCGCACAGUGAGUGUGCAUACACACACGCGAGGCACAAACCUUCGCAUUUUCUUUGAGCGUGAUAUUAUGAACAAUGCGCUUUCUCACGAUAAUCACCUCGUAGAUUUGCCGUUUAACGUUUUACCACGCUACAGAAAUCAUCCAGCAGGUCCCUUGCCGACCUUGUUUCCUGCCUUCACAUCAACAUUCUACAAGAGAUACUUUUGCUAUCCUGUUACAACGAUGAAUACCAUUCAAUUGGAUUUUUUUUCAAAUAUUUUUCUAUGCGAUAUUACCUUUUACUUUUUAUAGUCGUCUAACGAACGAGCUAACGUAGAAAGAAUGUUCAUGAAUCAUUCUCACUUUCUCUGCAAUAUCAAUAAGAACAAUUCAUUGGAAAUGAUAAUUAUCGACAUAUUAUUAAUAAUACAUAAAAUAUAAGCUAAUGAUUAUUGUUAUCAAUUAUAUUUUUAAAUGAAAGGUAUAAUGAGAAAAAGAUAGAAGAGUCGAAGGUUCGUCGUAUCAGCGUACAGUCCUGCGCGAGGAGUAGGGGUAGCGUGUUCGGGGACAGAGUGGGGGGUUCGAGGGUGCCGCUCGGCACGAAUCGUGCGCGUCCGAGUAGUGUCAGUAGGGACGUGCAACGAGGGGGUCUAUGUUAAUUUUCGUUCUGUUUUUCCCCCAAUCAUUCCUUGCUAAUAAACUCUUUCUUCUCUCCCUCGUUAAUUCGACCAAUCGCGUGUGCUAUUCUUUUCGGUCGUAAGACGGACCUUCGACGAAGACAGAAAAAUAAAAGAAAAAUAAAAAGAAAAAGAAAAAGUGUAUAAGUUUUUGUCGAGGGCCAGACAAGACGCUCGAUACAACACGUCGUGUCCCUUCGGUGCGCGGCUUGACAACGAGGAGACGACGACGACGACGACAAGAAGAAGAAGAAGCGCCCUUUAUCGAACGAUCUCUUCUCCUCUCGUGUGUGUGCACGUGUUGUCCCUUCGGAACAAGGGAAAGGAGAGAAAUCGAGAGGAGAAGAAAAAAAAAUAAAACUCGACAAAAA
This 2207-nucleotide long non-coding RNA is filed under the name Polistes fuscatus (common paper wasp). RNAcentral describes it as "uncharacterized LOC122518595". The record is from RNAcentral. Lineage: Eukaryota; Metazoa; Arthropoda; Insecta; Hymenoptera; Vespidae.